This 71-nucleotide transfer RNA is filed under the name Loxodonta africana (African savanna elephant). It matches the Rfam family "tRNA". From Rfam's summary of the family: Transfer RNA (tRNA) molecules are approximately 80 nucleotides in length. Their secondary structure includes four short double-helical elements and three loops (D, anti-codon, and T loops). The record is from Rfam by way of RNAcentral. Lineage: Eukaryota; Metazoa; Chordata; Mammalia; Proboscidea; Elephantidae.
GCAUUGGUGGUUCUGCGGUAGAAUUCUUGCCUUCCACACAGGAGACCGGGGUUCAAUUCCUGGCCAAUGCA